RNAcentral lists this microRNA (23 nucleotides) under Oreochromis niloticus (Nile tilapia). Its description in RNAcentral is "oni-miR-10880". Lineage: Eukaryota; Metazoa; Chordata; Actinopteri; Cichliformes; Cichlidae. The record is from miRBase by way of RNAcentral.
UUUUCCUCUGAUCUGCCUCCUCU